This 468-nucleotide ribosomal RNA is filed under the name uncultured bacterium. RNAcentral describes it as "partial 16S ribosomal RNA". It matches the Rfam family "Bacterial small subunit ribosomal RNA", at positions 28 to 507 of the family's 1533-position model. The record is from RNAcentral.
GACGAACGCUGGCGGCGUGCUUAACACAUGCAAGUCGAACGGAGAGGCCCUGCUUUUGUGGGGUGCUCGAGUGGCGAACGGGUGAGUAACACGUGAGUAACCUGCCCUUGACUUUGGGAUAACUUCAGGAAACUGGGGCUAAUACCGGAUAGGAGCUCCUGCUGCAUGGUGGGGGUUGGAAAGUUUCGGCGGUUGGGGAUGGACUCGCGGCUUAUCAGCUUGUUGGUGGGGUAGUGGCUUACCAAGGCUUUGACGGGUAGCCGGCCUGAGAGGGUGACCGGCCACAUUGGGACUGAGAUACGGCCCAGACUCCUACGGGAGGCAGCAGUGGGGAAUAUUGCACAAUGGGCGGAAGCCUGAUGCAGUAACGCCGCGUGCGGGAUGACGGCCUUCGGGUUGUAAACCGCUUUCGCCUGUGACGAAGCGUGAGUGACGGUAAUGGGUAAAGAAGCACCGGCUAACUACGUG